CGAUUUGAUACGCCCCCACACAUAAAAUUUAUUGACGAGAUCGCUGAUAGAACAAUUUAUAUCGGUUAACGGGGGACAUACACUGAAGCCUGUAUUACACGGCUAUAAAUCUUUCAUAGGCGGGUUCAACAUGGCAAGUCCGUCGAGGAAUGUGAAGCUAAAAUGCUGAGUUUGAAGGAAUUAUUGCAAGGCAGGAACACAGGUUGCUGCCACCUGUAUAUUUGAAUAUUAAAUACCAUGUAUAUUUUCACGUUCAUACAUUCGUGAAUGUGCAUAUGUAAGGUUUUUUUUCUUUUUAAUUUGCCCUUUAUUUACAGGCACUCGUACUAUAGAGUUGGCCUCCAGUCGACAAGCCGAGCUGCUUGAAUCGCAGUCCAUAACAAAUUAUAAGAGUUGGCUCUGUUCCCGAUAUACACGUCUCCCAAAUAUAUUAUAAUACUUGAAAGUUAUUCGAACGCUGUCUGCCGCUCUGACGUCAUACGAUACAACAACAUUGUUGAAAAAGUUACUUGAAAAUGAAAAUUCGUUUCCUAGUGUCGACUUGACGUCACCUGUCACUCGCUCUCCAUACUUUCCACACUUUCGUUGAGUGAAACUGGACGGGUGUUACAAAGUAACAGUAUCAAGCAUGUUCACCUAGCCUAGUAGUGAAAUGAAAGCGUGUUUCAUCGCGAGACAGCCAAAUGAAUACACAAAAAGUGGCCGCUCUGUGGAAGACAUCACAGUGGUACAAAAAAACAUGCUAUCGACUACCGUUUAACGCGAGUUGCAUGGUUUAUAAGGGCCCUAAGAAGUUUUUUGGAUUAGAAUCAAAGAUACAGCAUAGGCCUAACUAUAACCUAUCUACCUUGGUUUGCUUGUGUCAGAGCUUAUAAAUUUGUUAAGCUACAACGAUGGUGGUGCCACAUUAACGCCUACGCAAGGGAAAUCUCUUGUGAUUGUAGACACUCGUCGCUCGUCUCUCACAAUUGUUGAAUGACAUUUUGUGACUGAACACGCCCUGAAGAUCUAGGAUGGCAAAAUGAAGUUUGGAAGGAUAGCUGAGCCAUUCAGAAUGACAUGAGCUGUCAGUUGGGUUGGAUGCCAGUAGCAGUCGCCAAGAAAGAGUGAAUUAAUGCAGAGAGAAUGCAAAGCCUUGAGCAGACAGUACUUGGCUCCUCAUCAGUCCACUAAUGGAGGGAGGAAGUCAUCUUAUCUGGUGAUCUAUAUGCAGGAUUAAUUCAUAAGGAGGUUAUGUGGUUGCUUCGCUAUCAGUAAUCUGUUGCCCCUUGUAUGUCAUGGCUAGCUAGUCUUCUCAGUUUUGUUUGAUGGGAAAAAAAAUUGGUUUGCAAAAUGCAACUGUGGAAGCCCAAAGGCACCAUGUUUAUCGUACCGCACUGAACACGCUACUGGCAUCGUCGAGCACGCCCACCUCUCCAUCGCCUCACCCGUGUGGACAACACUCACGGAUAAGUCCGCCAGAAUUUGCCCGUCAACCCUGGAGCACGCCGAUCAGGCCCGGUCGUGUGGACAGGCCUUAGGUUCACAGGAUACUUAGGUUCAUAGCAACAACAGCCUCACUUUUUUGUCAGCAUUGUUGUAAUCUGCUUAGUCUUUAUGUAUAAAUGACAAGGAUGCAAUCCUAGCUGAUGAUGAUAAACCAGAAGCCUGAGAUACACCAUACAUGUCAGCCUUGCAGGAAAUAAUGCACAUGGGAUGUACUGCUUCGAUUCCUUGAAGUCAUAAGAUCAAAUGAAAGUAAAUGCUAGAAAAGACAAAAAGACCUACAACAACCAAAACAAUAUGCAGUUAGCCGAGGAAAUUUCAAAUAAUGGAAUUUUAAAACAAUGCCAAAUCAGUGAAGGGAUCAGAUUACAGAUGAAUCUCCAAGGCAGAAGUCACAAUAUGGAGAUGCAGAAACUUUCUUCUUGCUAGCACCUUUUUCAACUGGAGUAUGUUCAGUAGGAGAUGACAAAGCUGAUGGUACUGCUGGUCCAGCCCCUACAGGAUUGCCUCCAGCUCGACGGCCAGAUGAACGUCCUAAUUAAGUACAGUAAAUUUGAAGACAUUGUCAAACAGCAGAACCUAUAUAUGAAUAAGAACAAUCUGAUAUGGAAACAGACAUGAACAGUUUCUACAUAACAGAGCCCCAAUUUCUCAAGACAUGAAUAAAACAGCUCAUCAUUGAAAAUAAAAAUACAACCAUAUUCUCAAGAAUAUACAAACAAUUUCAUUAUUCUGUAAAAUAAGAAAAAUUCUAAGACCUAAAACUUCUGACCUCCAUUCUAAGGCAAACCAACCACAACAAUAACCAAUUCACUUUCAUAUAGUAAUUUAAAUUUUAGGUACAAUGCAAUAUUCAUAAUAUACAAACUGCUGUUCAACAUUAGGUGGUAAUCCGUAACUGCUGUAUCGAAAAACUCAUCCAAACCUAUAUAUGUAAUUUCUAUGACUUGAGGAUUCUGCAAACCUUACUGGUGUAAGUGAACAAAUAUUGAAGAAAUGGAGUAACUUUGUUAAUUAUGCCUAACCUUGGAAAGGUUUCCUACGGCAUCCUCCAUGAAUACUAUUCUAAGCAAUUUUGCAUAAGAUAUACUGUAAAAUAUGCUAGUUGAAUACUACAUAAAAAAUUAUGACAAAAUAUCCUGAACCAAUGUACUUCCAAAAUUUGGGGCAAUAUAUUUCCAAAAUUUGGAGUACGUUAAUACCUCAGACUCUGAACUUAAUCUAUUCCAGAAGGCUGUUUGAAAUAUGAUUUGUUCAAAAUAUGAAACAGAUAUUCCCAUAAGAAAUAAAGGGAAUCAGAAUAAUCCGUUCGAGCCAACCGAAAGGAGUACCCCUUUUCAAUUUUUUUUUCUAUUAUUAAUGUGUUCAAAAGUUUAAUUAACCCUCUUACGCCGGAGCGGUAAAUAAAAAAUUGUCUCCCGUGUGCCGGAGGGGUUUCGGAGUGAGCGAGGAAGCAGAAAAAAUAUUUUUUUCAAAAAAUCACAGCGUGCUUAGUUUUCAAG
Macrobrachium nipponense is the source of this 2987-nucleotide long non-coding RNA. RefSeq lists it as uncharacterized. The transcript has 8 exons. The record is from RefSeq and is a predicted model, not a curated record. NCBI's taxonomy places the organism in Eukaryota, Metazoa, Arthropoda, Malacostraca, Decapoda, Palaemonidae.